UACGUAGGGACCAAGCGUUGUCCGGAAUCAUUGGGCGUAAAGAGCUUGUAGGUGGUUUGUCGCGUCUGCUGUGAAAAUCCGAGGCUCAACCUCGGACUUGCAGUGGGUACGGGCAGACUAGAGUGUGGUAGGGGAGACUGGAAUUCCUGGUGUAGCGGUGGAAUGCGCAGAUAUCAGGAGGAACACCGAUGGCGAAGGCAGGUCUCUGGGCCAUUACUGACACUGAGAAGCGAAAGCAUGGGGAGCGAACAGG
This 253-nucleotide ribosomal RNA is filed under the name uncultured bacterium. RNAcentral's name for it is "partial 16S ribosomal RNA". It matches the Rfam family "Bacterial small subunit ribosomal RNA", at positions 524 to 776 of the family's 1533-position model. The record is from RNAcentral.